RNAcentral lists this ribosomal RNA (464 nucleotides) under uncultured bacterium. RNAcentral's name for it is "bacterial SSU rRNA". It matches the Rfam family "Bacterial small subunit ribosomal RNA", at positions 33 to 507 of the family's 1533-position model. The record is from RNAcentral.
GACGACGCUGGCGGCGUGCUUAACACAUGCAAGUCGAGCGGUAAGGCUCCUUCGGGAGUACACGAGCGGCGAACGGGUGAGUAACACGUGAGUAACCUGCCCCAAUCAUCGGGAUAACCAUUGGAAACGAUGGCUAAUACCGAAUACGACCACCGGAGGCAUCUUCUGGUGGUGGAAAGCUCCGGCGGAUUGGGAUGGACUCGCGGCCUAUCAGCUUGUUGGUGAGGUAAUGGCUCACCAAGGCAACGACAGGUAGCCGGCCUGAGAGGGUGACCGGCCACACUGGGACUGAGACACGGCCCAGACUCCUACGGGAGGCAGCAGUGGGGAAUAUUGGACAAUGGGCGCAAGCCUGAUCCAGCAACGCCGCGUGAGGGAUGACGGCCUUCGGGUUGUAAACCUCUUUCAGUAGGGACGAAGCGAAAGUGACGGUACCUACAGAAGAAGGACCGGCCAACUACGUG